UACGAAGGGGGCUAGCGUUGCUCGGAAUCGCUGGGCGUAAAGCGCACGUAGGCGGCUUUCUAAGUCAGGGGUGAAAUCCUGGAGCUCAACUCCAGAACUGCCUUUGAUACUGGAGAGCUUGAGUCCGGAAGAGGUGAGUGGAACUCCGAGUGUAGAGGUGAAAUUCGUAGAUAUUCGGAAGAACACCAGUGGCGAAGGCGGCUCACUGGUCCGGUACUGACGCUGAUGUGCGAAAGCGUGGGGAGCAAACAGG
This 253-nucleotide ribosomal RNA is filed under the name uncultured bacterium. Its description in RNAcentral is "partial 16S ribosomal RNA". It matches the Rfam family "Bacterial small subunit ribosomal RNA", at positions 524 to 776 of the family's 1533-position model. The record is from RNAcentral.